GAUGGGGCAUCCACAACUUCUCUGGGCAACCUGUUCCAGUGCCUCACAUUUUCUUGUAGGUAGCGCUGCUUGCAGGAUGAGGGUGCACAGGCCCUGGGGCAGAGGAAAGCACAGAUCAAUUAAUUGGCAAGAUGGACAAUUUCACUUUUAUUCUUUAAAACAGAGCAAGGAAGAAAAGCCACAAAGAAGAAAGAACGAGAGACUUGAGAAAGAGGUAUAAUCCGUAGUUGCAAACCAAAUUAAUUUUUGGGCACCUCAGUGUUUGAGUGCUCUUUUUUCAAUCUUUUCAAAAAUGAACAGUUUCCAGAGAGCACCUGUCCUCCCAGAGUGAUGGUUACCUGAUGUGUCAGCGCCAGCUGAGCAUCUGUCAUCAUUUCUUAUUUUGGGAAAUGUAGGCCCCAUGUGUUUACACUUCUUCAGAUCUCUUUCAAGGAGUUGGCAAAAGGUUUGCAUUUGCAUUGGUCUUACUUGCCUGAAUAGUAUUUCCAUUCUUAUGAUCACCUUUUUUCUCAGUGAGAGGCUGAAUUUCUGGUGUUGUAAUACCCAUCCACAUAAAAAUAAGAGCUCAAUAUAUUUUAAAAGGAAGAUACACUUAAUAAUUUAUGAAGGUAUAAUAUUCUGAGUAAAAAAAACACCAAAGGCCACACACGGAUUUCUCCUCUCCUUCUUUCUCCUACUUUUCUUUUUUUGUUUGUUUGUUUGUUUUCUGGUGCCUGUACAGCUGGAUUUUUGAUAUUAAGAAGCAGCUAAACUUCAUGGAUGGAAGAUACUGAAAGAUAACAACAAUUAAUGUUCAAACAGCCCUAGUGUUUCUAAACACAUUUUUUCCUGUGCAAAUUUACAGUGUGCCCAUGAAACAAAAUGGUGCUGGUUUGCACGACUUGGCAAAUUUAUAAUACAUCAUUUUAAUGACAAACAGGAGAAAUUAAAAGUAUGUGGUCAAAGCAUUUGGAGGAAUACCUCACACUGAAUGUUAAAUUGAGUAGUAGAACCACAACUUCUACUGGCAUAAGGGUCAUCUAGAAAGUCCUGUUGUUGGUGAAGAUGCUGAACAGACAGUCUGAAUGGGAUAUAUGCCUCAUGCUGAAUUGAAUUUUACUAGAGAAAUAUUGACUUGGAUAAACUACAUUGUUGCUGCUUCUAAUUUCAGCCUGUAGCAGCAUCCUUUGUGUGUUUGUAUAAACACUGGUAUAUAGGAUACAUGCUAAGUACAUAUUAGUAUUUGUUAAUUCAUACGGCUUUGUGGUAUUAUGUCUCGCAGUUAGCUGAGACAUGUUCCCACCCUAAAUCAAUUCCCAAACAAAAAAAUAAUUGAGGGUACUUAAAAACUAGUUGGAAGUGGGUGAUCAGACUCUUCAAUUAAUUAGGAAAAAACCAAAGAGAUGAUGAAGUGUGUGCUGCAGAAUCACAAGUGACUGUACCAACUAAGCUCAAAUCAACAAACAGCUAAUAAUAUCACAUAAUUACCUACAAGGUACUCUUGAAAGACAAGAGGAGCACAAAGUAUCUACUACUUUCAAAACAGAAGGAACUGAAACUGUGGAAGAUACUUGAAUACUUCAGGACCUGGACUGGGUGCUGGACUGUGACACACAGACAGGCACAUGGACACGCACUGGCAAAGGUGAUGUGAAGGGGUUCAACUCUGCUAGUGGUUUCUGGCUUCUCAGAAGACUUGGGGCUCUCCAUAA
Molecule: long non-coding RNA, 1691 nt
Organism: Lepidothrix coronata (blue-crowned manakin)
Lineage: Eukaryota; Metazoa; Chordata; Aves; Passeriformes; Pipridae
Exons: 3
Source: RefSeq, a predicted model, not a curated record